GCGGAUGUGGCGGAACUGGCAGACGCGCUAGAUUCAGGUUCUAGUCCUCGAUAAGGGGGUGGAGGUUCAAAUCCUCUCAUCCGCA
Molecule: transfer RNA, 85 nt
Filed under: Rhodopirellula baltica
Lineage: Bacteria; Pseudomonadati; Planctomycetota; Planctomycetia; Pirellulales; Pirellulaceae
Also listed under: 6 other names
Description: tRNA-Leu
Rfam family: tRNA
About the family: Transfer RNA (tRNA) molecules are approximately 80 nucleotides in length.
Source: RNAcentral